UAGGGAAUCUUCGGCAAUGGACGAAAGUCUGACCGAGCAACGCCGCGUGAGUGAAGAAGGUUUUCGGAUCGUAAAACUCUGUUGUUAGAGAAGAACAAGGACGUUAGUAACUGAACGUCCCCUGACGGUAUCUAACCAGAAAGCCACGGCUAACUACGUGCCAGCAGCCGCGGUAAUACGUAGGUGGCAAGCGUUGUCCGGAUUUAUUGGGCGUAAAGCGAGCGCAGGCGGUUUCUUAAGUCUGAUGUGAAAGCCCCCGGCUCAACCGGGGAGGGUCAUUGGAAGCUGGGAGACUUGAGUGCAGAAGAGGGGAGUGGAAUUCGAUGUGUAGCGGUGAAAUGCGUAGGUAUGGGGGGGAACACGGGUGGCGGAGGCGGCUCUGUGGUCUGUAGCUGGCGGGGGGGCUGGAGAGCGUGGGGAGCAAACAGG
This 429-nucleotide ribosomal RNA is filed under the name Gemmatimonadota bacterium. Its description in RNAcentral is "Gemmatimonadetes bacterium partial 16S ribosomal RNA". It matches the Rfam family "Bacterial small subunit ribosomal RNA", at positions 355 to 776 of the family's 1533-position model. The record is from RNAcentral. Lineage: Bacteria; Pseudomonadati; Gemmatimonadota.